UUAUGGGCUAGGUUGGGGCUAGGGGUCCCUUUACCGCAAACCCCCUUAUGGCGGACCGAAUGCCCGGAGCGUUAUACGUGGGGGCUGCGUCUUCUGUCGUAGGCGUAGAUGUCCUGCCCUGCGUGGCGGUCUGUUUUGUGAAACUGGUCAGGCCGGAAGGAGCAGCCAUAAGCAACUCAGGCCGUGCUUGCAGGAUACAGAGCGGAGUCGAAGACUGAAGCUCCGCAUCUUUCAUGUAUGGCAAACCGGGAAGCCCAUCA
This 260-nucleotide signal recognition particle RNA is filed under the name Microcaldota archaeon. RNAcentral's name for it is "Candidatus Micrarchaeota archaeon (hot springs metagenome) signal recognition particle sRNA". It matches the Rfam family "Archaeal signal recognition particle RNA". The record is from RNAcentral. Lineage: Archaea; Nanobdellati; Microcaldota.